AGUGAACGCUGGCGGUAGGCCUAACACAUGCAAGUCGAACGGCAGCACAGGAGAGCUUGCUCUCUGGGUGGCGAGUGGCGGACGGGUGAGGAAUACAUCGGAAUCUACUCUGUCGUGGGGGAUAACGUAGGGAAACUUACACUAAUACCGCAUACGACCUACGGGUGAAAGCAGGGGACCUUCGGGCCUUGCGCGAUUGAAUGAGCCGAUGUCGGAUUAGCUAGUUGGCGGGGUAAAGGCCCACCAAGGCGACGAUCCGUAGCUGGUCUGAGAGGAUGAUCAGCCACACUGGAACUGAGACACGGUCCAGACUCCUACGGGAGGCAGCAGUGGGGAAUAUUGGACAAUGGGCGCAAGCCUGAUCCAGCCAUACCGCGUGGGUGAAGAAGGCCUUCGGGUUGUAAAGCCCUUUUGUUGGAAAAGAAAUCCAGUUGGCUAAUACCCGGUUGGGAUGACGGUACCCAAAGAAUAAGCACCGGCUAACUUCGUGCCAGCCGCCGCGGUAA
Molecule: ribosomal RNA, 506 nt
Filed under: uncultured bacterium
Lineage: Bacteria
Description: partial 16S ribosomal RNA
Rfam family: Bacterial small subunit ribosomal RNA
Source: RNAcentral